AACGAAGUGAAUUGAAAUAUCUUAGUAACUUUAGGAAAAGAAAUCAAACGAGAUUGUUAUUUGGUGCAAACUAAAUAACAAGAGUCUAUAAACAAAACUUGUUAAAGUAAAAUGGAUUAAAAUCUGUUUGAAUAUAGGGGAACCUUCCUCUAAGGCUAAAUAUGAUAUAUAAGCGAUAGUGAAAAGUACCGUGAGGUAAAAUUUGAAAUAGUAAUUUUAUAAGCAGCUCGAGUGAAAAUUUAAAUAAGUAAUGAGAGUGUACCUUUUGCAUAAUGGGUCAGCAAGUUAAUUUUAGAUGCAAGCAAUGAUUUCGUGCGCUUUGCGCAUGAAACUAGCUUAGAUAAACCAAUUAUGAGAAAAUGAAUAAGUAUCUAGAAUUAGACCCGAAGGCUAGUGAUCUUACCAUGGUCAGGGUUAUAAAAGCCCGAACGGGUUAUCGUUGUAUAGAUAUCCGAAGAAUUGUGGUAAGUUAGUGAAAGACAAAACUGACUAGUAUAGCUGGUUUUCCGCGAAACCUAUAUGAGUAGGUAAUUUAACUAACAUCUUAGCAGGUACAGAACUGUGAUCUCGGACAAUAUCUUUUGAUUUUGUCAACAUCGGGGGGUUGUAGUGACUUUACCGGAGAGUAUUUGCACUCGGAAUGGCAAAGAUGAAUGUUGAAUAAUCGGACAUAGUGCGAUAAGGUUGUAUGUCUAAAGGGAAACAGCCCAGAACAAGAGUUAAGGUUCCAAAAUUAUUGUUGAGUGAAAUUAAGGAUGUUUUUUUUAAAAACAAUCAGGAAAUAGGCUUAGAAGCGGCCAUUUUUUGAAGACCUCGUAACAGAGCACUGAUUAAUUAAAUUUAGAAAAAAACACCGAAAAUUUAACGGAUCUAAACAAUAUACCGAAACCUUGUACACAUAUUUAUAAUAUUAAUAUUGUAUAUGUGGGGUAGCGGAACAUUGGAUAAAUAUUAAUUAUUAUUUCUUCUAAGAAGUAAUAAGUAUGGAUUAUUAUUAAAAAUAUUUAUUUAUUAAAGAUAUUUAUGUAAUAUUAUUAUACCUAAAAGGUAUAAUGUUUAGAUGAAUAUAUAGAUAGAUUAUAUCUGUCUUUAUUAUUAAUAUAAUCCAUCGAUAUAAUCCAAGAGAGAAUGCUGACAUGAGUAACGAAAAAGGAAUAUCCUCGCCUUAAGCUUAUGGUAUUAUAUUUAAUUUUCGGUAUCUAAAAGUAUUAAUCAAAAGGUAAUUUUGAUGAUAUUUAUAUAUAAAUACUUAAAAAUAAAAAACAAAACCUUUAACAAGUAAUAAAGGUUCUGGAAAAUUUUUUAUUUUUAUAAAGUGAAGUAUAAUGCAAUAUAGAUAUAUUAUAAUCUAUAUAAUUUUCUUGUUACAAGUUUUCAAGAUUGUAUAGAUUUUAUCUAUAUUAAAUAUAUUUUCUUUUUUAUACUAUUGUAUAAGUAAGGUUUAUAUAUACCGUACCUAGAUACUAUCACAAGUAAGCAAGUAGAGAAUACAAAGGCGUUUGAGUGAACAAUCAUUAAGGAACUCGGCAAAUUGACUACCGUAACUUCGGGAUAAGGAGGGCCAUUAUGAUUAGUUUAACAUAUCUUAUGAUAUGAUUUAAUUAAACUAAUCAUAAGAGGAAACAUGAAAUAAUGUUGUACGACUGUUUAAUAAAAACACAGCACUCUGCAAAGAUAAAAUAUCAAAGUAUUGAGUGUGAUGUCUGCCCAAUGUCGGCUGGGUAACGGAUUUACCUUGGUUUUUAACUGAGGUUUUGAAGGAUACCCCGAUUAAUGGCGGCCUUACCUAUGAGGGUCCUAAGGUAGCGAAAUACCUUGGCCGUUAAAUGCGGUCCUGCAUGAAUGACUUAACGAUACAACAGCUGUCUCGAUGAUUGUCUCAGUGAAAUUGGAAUAGCAGUGCAGAUACUGUUUACCUCUAGAUAGACGAGAAGACCCUAUGCAGCUUUACUGUUACUAAUUGCAAGAGUGGAAAUUUAGGAUGAUUUCGAGUGUAUAAGGUAGUUGUUUGAUAACAAUGAAACACCUUUAUUCGUUUCCUACUAUAUGCUCUUGAGGAUUGGGAGGCAGUUUAUGCGGGGCACAGAUCCCACAAAAAGUACCUGGGUAUAUCCAAAGUUCAUUUUGUAAAUUUGUAAAUUUCUUUACAAAUAUUUUAAUUUGUUAUAAUUAUAUUCAUAAUUAUACAGUUAUUGUUAGAUUAAGUUCAAUAUUUAUUUUUUAUUUAAGUAAGAUUUUAACUAUAUGGUGAAUAGAUGUAUUUUAAACUUUACCCGGGGAGGGAGUGAUCCAACUCCGGGAUAUUUAAAAGUUUUUUCUCAUAUUAAUAUUGUAUUUUAUCUUUAUUGAUAUGAUAAUUAAUUAUACUUUAAAAGUUUAAUGGCUAAAUCUUGCUUUACUGUUUGACCUACAAGUCUAUCAGUCGCGUAAGCGGGGCAUAUGAUCACAAGAUGCAUAAAGGAAAGGUCUUGGAUUAUAGAAAAAGUUACGCUAGGGAUAACAGGCUAAUUUGCGCAAGAGAGUACAAAUUGAGUGCGCGGUUUGGCACCUCGAUGUCGGCUUAGCUCAUCCACAUGAAUGCAAAAAUCAUGAAGGGUUCGACUGUUCGUCGAUUAAAGAGCUACAUGAGCUGGGUUUAAUACGUCGUGAGACAGUAUGGUUUCUAUCUUCUAGAGGGAAUUAAAGUAGAAUAAAGAUAGCCCCUUCGUACGAAAGGAGUUGGGUAUAUUGACCUAUGGUUUACCUGUUGUUUAUGUUAUAUAUUAUUAUACAUAAUAUAUCAUUUACUUAUACUUAAGUAAAUUGUUCACAUAGGCAUGGCAGGAAGGCUACGUCAGUUAAAGAUAAGUGCUGAAAGCAUUUAAGCGCGAAGCUUACUUUAGGAUACUUUUAAACGUAGUAGAACACUACGA
Molecule: ribosomal RNA, 2912 nt
Filed under: Aspergillus pseudotamarii
Lineage: Eukaryota; Fungi; Ascomycota; Eurotiomycetes; Eurotiales; Aspergillaceae
Description: large subunit ribosomal RNA
Rfam family: Bacterial large subunit ribosomal RNA
Source: RNAcentral